UCUGGUGACCAGAUGCCAGGGGUUCCACCCGUUCCCAUCCCGAACACGGCAGUUAAGCCCUGAGCAGCCAAUGGUAGUGGAGCGAUAGGCUCUGCGAGAGUAGGUCGUUGCCAGAU
RNAcentral lists this ribosomal RNA (116 nucleotides) under Ereboglobus luteus. The record is from RNAcentral. Lineage: Bacteria; Pseudomonadati; Verrucomicrobiota; Opitutia; Opitutales; Opitutaceae. RNAcentral also lists the same sequence under 2 other names.